This 146-nucleotide small RNA is filed under the name Arabidopsis thaliana (thale cress). Its description in RNAcentral is "ATSL066510". The record is from RNAcentral. Lineage: Eukaryota; Viridiplantae; Streptophyta; Magnoliopsida; Brassicales; Brassicaceae.
ACAAAUUUAAUUAGCAUUUACUAGAGAAUGUUUAAAUAAUUUUAGGAAAAAAAGAUGUUAAAAAUACUUUGACCGGCGCCGGAGCUGCUUGAUAUUAUAGAAGCUAGUGCGAACGGAAUACUGAAUGUAAUCUAUAAAAAGUUUCA